GCAGUCGUGACCGAGUGGUUAAGGCGAUGGACUAGAAAUCGAUUGGGGUCUCCCCGCAUGGGUUUGAAUCCUGUCGACUGCG
Ixodes scapularis (black-legged tick) is the source of this 82-nucleotide non-coding RNA. The record is from Rfam. Lineage: Eukaryota; Metazoa; Arthropoda; Arachnida; Ixodida; Ixodidae.